RNAcentral lists this ribosomal RNA (468 nucleotides) under uncultured bacterium. Its description in RNAcentral is "partial 16S ribosomal RNA". It matches the Rfam family "Bacterial small subunit ribosomal RNA", at positions 28 to 507 of the family's 1533-position model. The record is from RNAcentral.
GACGAACGCUGGCGGCGUGCUUAACACAUGCAAGUCGAACGGAAAGGCCCUGCUUUUGUGGGGUGCUCGAGUGGCGAACGGGUGAGUAACACGUGAGUAACCUGCCCUUGACUUUGGGAUAACUUCAGGAAACUGGGGCUAAUACCGGAUAGGAGCUCCUGCUGCAUGGUGGGGGUUGGAAAGUUUCGGCGGUUGGGGAUGGACUCGCGGCUUAUCCGCUUGUUGGUGGGGUAGUGGCUUACCAAGGCUUUGACGGGUAGCCGGCCUGAGAGGGUGACCGGCCACAUUGGGACUAAGAGACGGCCCAGAAUCCUACGGGAGGCAGCAGUGGGGAAUUUUGCACAAUGGGCGGAAGCCUGAUGCAGCAACGCCGCGUGCGGGAUGACGGCCUUCGGGUUGUAAACCGCUUUCGCCUGUGACGAGGCGUGAGUGACGGUAAUGGGUAAAGAAGCACCGGCUAACUACGUG